RNAcentral lists this small nucleolar RNA (319 nucleotides) under Apaloderma vittatum (bar-tailed trogon). RNAcentral describes it as "Small Cajal body-specific RNA 7". It matches the Rfam family "Small Cajal body-specific RNA 7". Lineage: Eukaryota; Metazoa; Chordata; Aves; Trogoniformes; Trogonidae. The record is from Rfam by way of RNAcentral.
UGGAAGUGAUGAAACAGAGAUAAUUGGAUGUCCCUUUGAAUGGAGUGUGUGUGCGAUAAAUGGAAUUAAACCAAGUCUAGCUGGGGGUGGGCUGCGGGGGACGCGUGUGUGUGUGCGUGUACAGAAAAGGCUUUGAACGGGGGCGCUGACAACGCGGUGCUGAUUCCGGAGUGCAUCUGAGGCGUGUUGUUGAGUUCUGGGCUGCUGCUUUGCAACAUUGCCGAUGAUUAAAGCCCAAAACGAGCCCACCAGGACAAGCCUCGGCAUCUUAAAUCUCUAACAGGUUCAUUAAUGAAAGUGAUCCUGUGAUCUGAUCCAA